GAUGAACGCUAGCUACAGGCUUAACACAUGCAAGUCGAGGGGCAGCAUGAAGGGAACUUCGGUUCUUUUUGAUGGCGACCGGCGCACGGGUGCGUAACGCGUAUCGAACCUGCCUCAUACUCGGGGAUAGCCUUGCGAAAGUAAGAUUAAUACCCGGCGGUCUCGGAUGGCCGCAUGACUAUCCGAGUGAAGAUUUAUCGGUAUGAGAUGGCGAUGCGUCCCAUUAGGUAGUUGGCGGGGUAAGGGCCCACCAAGCCGACGAUGUCUAGGGGUUCUGAGAGGAAGGUCCCCCACACUGGAACUGAGACACGGUCCAG
Molecule: ribosomal RNA, 317 nt
Filed under: uncultured bacterium
Lineage: Bacteria
Description: bacterial SSU rRNA
Rfam family: Bacterial small subunit ribosomal RNA
Source: RNAcentral